AAUAUAAUAUAAUAUCAUCUACAUCCAUAACUCACUAGAUGGAGGAGGUACAACAGUGUCUAAUAUAAUAUAAUAUCAUCUACAUCCAUAACUCACUAGAUAGAGGAGGUACAACAGUGUCUAAUAUAAUAUAAUAUAAUCUACAUCCAUAACUCACUAGAUGGAGGAGGUACAACAGUGUCUAAUAUAAUAUCAUCUACAUCCAUAACUCACUAGAUGGAGGAGGUACAACAGUGUCUAAUAUAAUAUCAUCUACAUCCAUAACUCACUAGAUAGAGGAUGUACAACAGUGUCUAAUAUAAUAUCAUCUACAUCCAUAACUCACUAGAUGGAGGAGGUACAACAGUGUCUAAUAUAAUAUAAUAUCAUCUACAUCCAUAACUCACUAGAUGGAGGAGGUACAACAGUGUCUAAUAUAAUAUAAUAUCAUCUACAUCCAUAACUCACUAGAUGGAGGAGGUACAACAGUGUCUAAUAUAAUAUAAUAUCAUCUACAUCCAUAACUCACUAGAUGGAGGAGGUACAACAGUGUCUAAUAUAAUAUAAUAUCAUCUACAUCCAUAACUCACUAGAUAGAGGAGGUACAACAGUGUCUAAUAUAAUAUAAUAUAAUCUACAUCCAUAACUCACUAGAUGGAGGAGGUACAACAGUGUCUAAUAUAAUAUAAUAUAAUCUACAUCCAUAACUCACUAGAUGGAGGAGGUACAACAGUGUCUAAUAUAAUAUCAUCUACAUCCAUAACUCACUAGAUGGAGGAGGUACAACAGUGUCUAAUAUAAUAUCAUCUACAUCCAUAACUCACUAGAUGGAGGAGGUACAACAGUGUCUAAUAUAAUAUCAUCUACAUCCAUAACUCACUAGAUGGAGGAGGUACAACAGUGUCUAAUAUAAUAUCAUCUACAUCCAUAACUCACUAGAUGGAGGAGGUACAACAGUGUCUAAUAUAAUAUCAUCUACAUCCAUAACUCACUAGAUAGAGGAGGUACAACAGUGUCUAAUAUAAUAUAAUAUCAUCUACAUCCAUAACUCACUAGAUGGAGGAAUUAACUCCAUGCUGUGUCUCCUCCUCAGUGGAAGUGUGGGGUCUGUAUCUGAGGUCU
This is a long non-coding RNA of Oncorhynchus keta (chum salmon), 1101 nucleotides long. RefSeq lists it as uncharacterized. The record is from RefSeq and is a predicted model, not a curated record. The transcript is spliced from 4 exons. NCBI's taxonomy places the organism in Eukaryota, Metazoa, Chordata, Actinopteri, Salmoniformes, Salmonidae.